GAUGAAGAACGUAGCGAAAUGCGAUAAGUAAUGUGAAUUGCAGAAUUCCGUGAAUCAUCGAAUCUUUGAACGCACAUUGCGCCCGCCAGUAUUCUGGCGGGCAUGCCUGUUCGAGCGUCAUUUCAACCCUCAAGCACAGCUUGGUGUUGGGACUCGCGUUAAUUCGCGUUCCCCAAAUUGAUUGGCGGUCACGUCGAGCUUCCAUAGCGUAGUAGUAAAACCCUCGUUACUGGUAAUCGUCGCGGCCACGCCGUUAAACCCCAACUUCUGAAUGUUGACCUCGGAUCAGGUAGGAAUACCCGGUGAACUUAAGCAUAUCAAUAAGCGGAGGA
This 332-nucleotide unclassified non-coding RNA is filed under the name soil metagenome. RNAcentral describes it as "partial contains 5.8S ribosomal RNA, internal transcribed spacer 2, and large subunit ribosomal RNA". The stretch from base 1 to 120 matches the Rfam family "5.8S ribosomal RNA", at positions 35 to 154 of the family's 154-position model. The record is from RNAcentral.